Molecule: ribosomal RNA, 398 nt
Filed under: uncultured bacterium
Lineage: Bacteria
Description: bacterial SSU rRNA
Rfam family: Bacterial small subunit ribosomal RNA
Source: RNAcentral
GGAAUAUUGCACAAUGGGCGAAAGUCUGAUGCAGCAACGCCGCGUGCGGGAAGAAGGCCCUAGGGUUGUAAACCGCUUUCAGCCGGGAAGCAAAUGACGGUACCUGCCGAAGCAGGUUCGGCCAACUACGUGCCAGCAGCCGCGGUGACACGUAGGCACCAAGCGUUGUCCGGAUUUAUUGGGCGUAAAGAGCUCGUAGGCGGUUUUGUAAGUCGGGUGUGAAAACUCUGGGCUCAACCCAGAGAGGCCACUCGAUACUGCAAUGACUUGAGUACGGUAGGGGAGCGGGGAAUUCCUGGUGUAGCGGUGAAAUGCGCAGAUAUCAGGAGGAACACCAGUGGCGAAGGCGCCGCUCUGGGCCGUAACUGACGCUGAGGAGCGAAAGCGUGGGUAGCAAA